This 497-nucleotide ribosomal RNA is filed under the name uncultured bacterium. RNAcentral's name for it is "partial 16S ribosomal RNA". It matches the Rfam family "Bacterial small subunit ribosomal RNA", at positions 28 to 507 of the family's 1533-position model. The record is from RNAcentral.
GAUGAACGCUGGCGGCGUGCCUAAUACAUGCAAGUCGAGCGAACAGACGAGGAGCUUGCUCCUCUGACGUUAGCGGCGGACGGGUGAGUAACACGUGGAUAACCUACCUAUAAGACUGGGAUAACUUCGGGAAACCGGAGCUAAUACCGGAUAAUAUAUUGAACCGCAUGGUUCAAUAGUGAAAGACGGUUUUGCUGUCACUUAUAGAUGGAUCCGCGCCGCAUUAGCUAGUUGGUAAGGUAACGGCUUACCAAGGCAACGAUGCGUAGCCGACCUGAGAGGGUGAUCGGCCACACUGGAACUGAGACACGGUCCAGACUCCUACGGGAGGCAGCAGUAGGGAAUCUUCCGCAAUGGGCGAAAGCCUGACGGAGCAACGCCGCGUGAGUGAUGAAGGUCUUCGGAUCGUAAAACUCUGUUAUUAGGGAAGAACAAAUGUGUAAGUAACUAUGCACGUCUUGACGGCACCUAAUCAGAAAGCCACGGCUAGCUACGUG